RNAcentral lists this ribosomal RNA (497 nucleotides) under uncultured bacterium. RNAcentral's name for it is "partial 16S ribosomal RNA". It matches the Rfam family "Bacterial small subunit ribosomal RNA", at positions 28 to 507 of the family's 1533-position model. The record is from RNAcentral.
GAUGAACGCUGGCGGCGUGCCUAAUACAUGCAAGUCGAGCGAACAGACGAGGAGCUUGCUCCUCUGACGUUAGCGGCGGACGGGUGAGUAACACGUGGAUAACCUACCUAUAAGACUGGGAUAACUUCGGGAAGCCGGAGCUAAUACCGGAUAAUAUAUUGAACCGCAUGGUUCAAUAGUGAAAGACGGUUUUGCUGUCACUUAUAGAUGGAUCCGCGCCGCAUUAGCUAGUUGGUAAGGUAACGGCUUACCAAGGCAACGAUGCGUAGCCGACCUGAGAGGGGGAUCGGCCAAACUGGAACUGAGAAACGGUCCAGACUCCUAAGGGAGGCAGCAGUAGGGAAUCUUCCGCAAAGGGCGAAAGCUUGACGGAGCAACGCCGCGUGAGUGAUGAAGGUCUUCGGAUCGUAAAACUCUGUUAUUAGGGAAGAACAAAUGUGUAAGUAACUAUGCACGUCUUGACGGUACCUAAUCAGAAAGCCACGGCUAACUACGUG